Helianthus annuus (common sunflower) is the source of this 217-nucleotide long non-coding RNA. RefSeq lists it as uncharacterized. The record is from RefSeq and is a predicted model, not a curated record. The transcript has 3 exons. NCBI's taxonomy places the organism in Eukaryota, Viridiplantae, Streptophyta, Magnoliopsida, Asterales, Asteraceae.
AUCAUCAUCUACAUAUAUCAAAGUUACUGAUUUUUGUUGAUUUUGUUUUUCAUGUGGAACCCUAAAUCUUGGAUAAAAUCGGACUCCGAUCAUUCGUGAAACAACAGAGAUAUGCAUCCCUUGCACAACAGUCCUUCAUUUUUAAAGCUUAUUGAUGAAGAUGACCCGAUAUUUUUGGUGAAGAGCUUCUUUCAGACUCCUUCCCCUACAAGGAACU